AUUGAACGCUGGCGGCAUGCCUUACACAUGCAAGUCGAACGGCAGCACGGGAGCUUGCUCCUGGUGGCGAGUGGCGAACGGGUGAGUAAUACAUCGGAACGUACCCUGAAGUGGGGGAUAACGUAGCGAAAGUUACGCUAAUACCGCAUAUUCUGUGAGCAGGAAAGAGGGGGAUCGCAAGACCUCUUGCUUUAGGAGCGGCCGAUGUCGGAUUAGCUAGUCGGUGAGGUAAAGGCUCACCAAGGCGACGAUCCGUAGCGGGUCUGAGAGGAUGAUCCGCCACACUGGGACUGAGACACGGCCCAGACUCCUACGGGAGGCAGCAGUGGGGAAUUUUGGACAAUGGGCGCAAGCCUGAUCCAGCCAUGCCGCGUGAGUGAAGAAGGCCUCGGUUGUAAGCGUCUUCGGUGGGGUAAGGAAAUUAGGCACAGGAUAAUAACC
Molecule: ribosomal RNA, 441 nt
Filed under: uncultured bacterium
Lineage: Bacteria
Description: bacterial SSU rRNA
Rfam family: Bacterial small subunit ribosomal RNA
Source: RNAcentral